Syngnathoides biaculeatus (alligator pipefish) is the source of this 2481-nucleotide RNA transcript. It is a transcript of the gene named ST3 beta-galactoside alpha-2,3-sialyltransferase 4, with no coding region annotated. The transcript has 15 exons. The record is from RefSeq and is a predicted model, not a curated record. Lineage: Eukaryota; Metazoa; Chordata; Actinopteri; Syngnathiformes; Syngnathidae.
CGCCCCAAUCCGCGCAUGCGCCAUGGCGCAUUUGGGGACGCGCCGCCGGAGGAGUGAAAAGCAAGAAAAAGGAAACGCGUUCGAAGGGCGAGCGGCUAUGCGGCCGCGGCGAAGUCCACGCCAGUCAGGCCAGCGGUUUCGCUCGCCCGUGGUCCGCGCGUCGCCUCGUCUUCUCCGCGUCGCAACGUGAUGCUCGCCGCGCUCGGCCGCGUCUUUCCCACGGAGGGAACGUCACCCACGGCGGCGUGAAUCGGAUCCCUCGCUCCCUUGAACGGUUCACCUUCCUCUCUUCGGAUUAAAACUGCAUUUGCGAGAAGCCCGGGCUCAUCAGUUGUAAAAACCCCAGAGGACAGACUCACUGGAAAUGACCGAGAGAAAAGCAUGGUGCCUUAGGCUUCUACCAGUUCUCUUCUUCUUUAUCUCCUUUGUUACAUACUACUGUUCCUAUGCCAUACUGCAGAGCUACGCCGGCACCAGCAAGUCUGUCAACAGUAGCAAGUCUCUGUGUGGUGGCUGGCUGACGCAGAAGAAGUGGGAGAGCCUCAACUUUAACAUUACCAGGCAGAUGCAACUCUUUCUAAAACUGGAUGAUUUCUUCUGGCGAGAACAUCUGUCAACGUUGGGGCUACCUUACGGCAUUAAGGGCAGUGAACUGCAGCUGCUGAAAGUACUUGCGGUAACAGCAAAUUAUCAAGUCCCGGCCAACAUAGACAACCUUGAAUGCAGAACCUGCGUUGUCAUAGGCAAUGGCUUUGCGAUUAAAAACACAUCAUUAGGAGGCAUCAUUAACAAAUACGAUGUGGUCAUUCGAUUGAACGACGCUCCGGUGAGGGGCUACGAGGAUGACGUUGGUAACAAGACCACCAUGAGGUUUUUCUACCCAGAGUCUGCCUCCUAUAACCCAGGCUUGAACAACGAGCCUGAUACACUGAUGGUCUUGGUACCUUUUAAACAGCAAGAUCUACGGUGGCUCAAAGAGAUCCUCUACAACGAGAAGAGGGUCAGGAAAGGCUUUUGGAAGCCCCCUCCCCAAAUCUGGUUGGGUGAUGUCGCUCAAAUCCGAGUGCUGGACCCGUACUUUUUGCAACAGACGGCAGAAAAACUGCUUCAAAUCCCCCUGAACCCCAAGAGUAAGCAGGAAAAGGCAUGUCAUAUUUUCGAAACUUUGAAAAAGCAGAAAGGCAACGAAGCAAAGAAGGAGGAAUUGACCGCCAGCAAUGUCUGCUUUGAGAGAGUCGGUGCCUGUGGCAAUCUUCAGAAUGUCAAGGUCCAAGCCGGUGCAUCCGACCACGGGAAUCCUCGCCGUCUUCGUGGCCCUCAAUUACUGCGACGUCGUCCACCUCGCUGGUUUCGGGUACCCGAACUCUCGGAACAUCAAGCACCCGAUCCAUUACUAUGGCUACGACACGAUGAAAUCAAUGAAGAAUUCUUACCAUGACCUCAAUCACGAAGCCGAAGCCUUAAAAAGACUGGAGGAGUCGGGGGCCAUCUUGUACCUGCACCCGCAUUUAUGAUCCACGAGGAAGCUGCAGCCUUUUGCACCUGUGAACCUGCUCUCAGUGUGCAAAUACACUCCCACGUCCUCUCUCCUUCUCGUCUGCUUGUAAUGUUGAGCCUUGAAUAAUGACAAUUGAAAACAAUAGAACCACUCGAGGGUGGUUUCAUAAUGCUUCCAAUUAUUUCAUUAUUUUUUUUUUGCUGAUAUCCGCUAAAAAAAAAGGUUCUCAUUUUGGAUGCCAACAUUCCACCGACCCUGAAGAAGAAAGUGGCAUAAACCAACGAAGAAGAACGCGCACGAAGACGUGUUUAUGUCCAGCGGCGACUGCGAACAAGGUAUUCGGGACUGGAUUCGCUCAAAUUCGAACGGUGCCCAACUCUUAUGACCGUGAUAGGAGGAUUGACUGCCGUAGGAGGAUUGGACACAGAACUCUUUCAAGUAAUGGAGCUGAUCGCCGUUGUUCUGAUUGCCUCCAGUUGAAGCAUUUUGAACGGAUCUGGACAUGCAAGUCAAAACCAGAAGGUAGGAAAGAGGUGUAAGAGUGAUGACAGAGGUCACGACUGGGAUCCACAUGCUGCUUUCAAGGUCAAGAGGCAAUCCCUUUUCCCAUCAGUGGAAGUGGAAAAUCUAAAAACCUCUCAAGUUCGCAAGGCAAGUCUUUAUACAGUACUUUGACGUGGAUAUAUGCAGUUAAUGAAGACUGUUCUGAUAUAAAAAUAUGUCUGUGGGACUCAAUGACAUACAGCAGAACUGUAUAUUUAUGAAUGUAUAGGGGAAUGGUGUUGAACACAUAAUAGCUGCGAUUUAUAGUUAUUAGUUAGUUAUUUAUAGUUAUUUUAUCCCCAAUAGUGGCAUACAAGCUCAUAAAUUAAAGAAAAAACAUGUCAGUAUCUUCACCCUCAUUGUGAGCCUUUUAAUCAUUAUAUACAAUAAUUUCUUGGAAUGUAUUACGUAAAUAUGAAAAUAUAUCACAUUCUAUGGUU